UCUUACAGGAUAUUCUGAUCAGGACGCCUUCAGAAAUGCGAAGCUGUGCUUCCAUUCUGACAGUUACCUCAUACUCCAAAAUUGUCGAGUGGAAGUAAACCAAGACCACUUUCUCGCACCAGUCAGCUGCCGUUUUUUGAAAUUUAAAGGUCCUGAAUCACAGACAUCCACUUUGACAACUAUUGUUGAAAAGUUCAAGACCAUACAACAGAUUUUAUGUCUAUUGCAAGAUAACAUGCAAAGCAGUGCAGCCUGGGAAACUAAGGGCACGUUGUAGCACAUGUCAGCAAGGAACAUUGAUUUUAACUGGGAAGGCCAUUUGGAUUCAGUUAUGCUGAUAGUUUUGAGAAGUCUUUUCCUUAGAGAAGAGAAGGCUGAGAGGAAAUUUGGUCGAGAUUUUCAAAAACAUGAAGAGUUCGACAGAGAUAAUAUGGCAAAACUUCUCACAUUGGAUAAAGAAUGAAAAGUCACAGCUUUAAGGUUGUUGACAAAAGAAGCAAUGGAGACCUGAGGAGAAAUUGUCAACAGUAAUGUUUAAGAUCUGCAAUGCAGUAUAUGAGUCUGGUAGAAGCAGGUUUAAUCCAUCCAUUCAAGUGGAAAUUAGAUUAUUAUCUGAAAAAGAAGAACAUGCAAGGUUUCUUGGAAGAGAUGGGGGAAUGGUACCAGGUGUGUGACAAUGCUCAGGUUAAACACACCACAAGUUGUCUCCCUCUGAGAACAAUCCUUUGGUCCUCAGGGACUAUGGUGACUUAGUUCACCUUUACUGCUCAUUUGGAGACACAGUGCAGAUGUGUGUUCUGUAACAAUUGUAUAAUUCUGCUAUUUAUGAACUGUUCCCUCCGUAAAACGUGCUUCUGAUGCUUUAAAGAAUGAUGAAGAUACAUAAUCAGAUAAUUUCAACAAAUGAGAUUCCCAGCUCCCCAAUGAAGUCAGAGACAAUGGAGAAUUGAUUGUUGUAUUCUCUGGUAGUA
Molecule: long non-coding RNA, 971 nt
Organism: Rhincodon typus (whale shark)
Lineage: Eukaryota; Metazoa; Chordata; Chondrichthyes; Orectolobiformes; Rhincodontidae
Exons: 3
Source: RefSeq, a predicted model, not a curated record